GGUGCCCAAAAUUGCACAGCUUAUUCAAUAUGGGGUCUUACCAGUGAUUUAUAAAGAGGCAAAAUUAUAUUCUUGUCUCGAGAAUGAAUGCCCUUUUUCAUGCAUGACAAUACCUUACUGGCCUUGGCCACUGCUGAUUGACAUUGCACAUUGUUGCAUAGUUUGUUGUCUAUAACAAUUCCCAAGUCCUUUUCAUGUGUUGUUAUCCCCAAUUCGCUUCCAUUAAGGGUAUACGUUGCUUGUGUAUUCUUUAUGCCGAAGUGCAUAACUUUGCAUUUUUCAACAUUAAAUUUCAUCUGCCAUUUGAGUGCCCAAUCCCCCAGUCUAUUUAAAUCCCUCUGCAGCAAAGUAAUAUCUUGCUCACAUUGUAUUGUUUUACAAAGUUUGGUGUCAUCUGCAAACACUGAAACAUGUAUGUGAAUGUAUGUGAAUUCAGAUUACAGGGUGUAAUUGUUGUGUGUGAAUACAUUUUGCAUUGGCACAGAACAUUCACACCCUGCACUCUGUAUUGUAAAGUUUGUGGAUCAAAAAGAGGGAAAAACUACUUUUAUCAACAGCAGUAUCUCUGUUGGCUAUUUUCUUGAGGCGGGCUCUCACCCUUCAGAUGCAGCUGAGUGUAAAUGUGUGUUUGUACACUCCCUAUAGGUUUUUUUGUUAUACGUUUAAGUCUGUAAAUUGAUACUGUAGGCAUCAAAACAAUCCUGGCUUAAUGAAGCUGUUUUGGUGAGUAGAUCAUGCCCCUACCAGUCUUUGCAGAGUAUUUGGAGUUGUAGUUCAAUGUGCAAUUCCAUGUACCAGAUCAUCCCACAUGCAUUCACACGCAACAUGUAAAAUUGUGUCUAGCACUGCCAUUACUGGAAAUGUUGUUAUAUAGUAUGUGAAAAUUUUGAACAGUGACCUCAACAAUUUCAAACAAGUAUAAUUGCUCCAUAAAAUUUAUGAAUGUAUUACAUUUU
Non-coding RNA from Pelobates cultripes (western spadefoot toad), 956 nucleotides. Lineage: Eukaryota; Metazoa; Chordata; Amphibia; Anura; Pelobatidae. The record is from the annotation of a GenBank genome assembly.